This 492-nucleotide ribosomal RNA is filed under the name uncultured bacterium. RNAcentral's name for it is "partial 16S ribosomal RNA". It matches the Rfam family "Bacterial small subunit ribosomal RNA", at positions 29 to 507 of the family's 1533-position model. The record is from RNAcentral.
AGUGAACGCUGGCGGUAGGCCUAACACAUGCAAGUCGAACGGCAGCACAGUAAGAGCUUGCUCUUACGGGUGGCGAGUGGCGGACGGGUGAGGAAUACAUCGGAAUCUACUUUUUCGUGGGGGAUAGCGUAGGGAAACUUACGCUAAUACCGCAUACGACCUACGGGUGAAAGCAGGGGAUCUUCGGACCUUGCGCGAUUGAAUGAGCCGAUGUCGGAUUAGCUAGUUGGCGGGGUAAAGGCCCACCAAGGCGACGAUCCGUAGCUGGUCUGAGAGGAUGAUCAGCCACACUGGAACUGAGACACGGUCCAGACUCCUACGGGAGGCAGCAGUGGGGAAUAUUGGACGAUGGGCGCAAGCCUGAUCCAGCCAUACCGCGUGGGUGAAGAAGGCCUUCGGGUUGUAAAGCCCUUUUGUUGGGAAAGAAAAGCAGCAGGUUAAUACCCCGCUGUUCUGACGGUACCCAAAGAAUAAGCACCGGCUAACUUCGUG